Long non-coding RNA from Chrysemys picta bellii (western painted turtle), 4379 nucleotides. RefSeq lists it as uncharacterized. Lineage: Eukaryota; Metazoa; Chordata; Testudines; Emydidae. The record is from RefSeq and is a predicted model, not a curated record.
CAAGAACUGGGCUGGGCUUCAGGAGACUUGGGUUUGAUUCCCUGCUCUGUCACUGACCUGCUGGGCAAGUCACUUUAUCUCCCUGUCUGUUCCCCCAUCUGUAAAACGGGGAUAAGAACACCAAGAUCUCUGGAUGAAGCGCACUACAGGAUUAUUACUACUGACUUAAAGGGCUCCACUAAAGUGCUUUUACAGGGCCUUCCAACCAGCAAAAGAGUCCUUCCUUCUCUGCAAUUUCUUUUCCUCUAGACUGAAUUCUCCACUUUACUAUAAUCUGCCAUAUUUAGGGUUACUGAAGACUGAAUUUACCAGGAUUGUUUCACCUUAGAAGAGGAAUGCCAGUAUCUUGGCACAUCGAGCCAGGUGGCACUUAAUCUGCAAAAAGGCUAUGUACCUUUGGGAUUUGCCAUGAUGAUGAUGGUCUUGUUGAUGAUGGAGGGUUCCCAGCCCAUUGGAUUGAAUCUGGUAUUCUGUCCACAUUUAAGUGAAUGCCGUGGUGUCUUGUCAUUCCAAGGAUCACCCACUUGUCUCUUCAAUUAGUGCUAGUGUGCAUGCCUUACAUAAGCCUCCAGGUUGCUCUUUUACAUUGAUUACCAGUCACCACUAACUGCAUGGAAAUCACCCCCACUUCUGGCUACAGCAGAAAGGCCUAAGGACUACAGUUAAUCCUAGGGUGAAAUCAUGGAGCUUUUGAAGUCAAUGGGAGUUUUGCCAUUGAUUUCAGUGAGGCCAGGAUUUCAGGAAUAGAUUCUUCAACUUUGUGAUGUGUCAAGGGAAGUGAGAAGGGAAUGGGUGUGACAUCUGGAAUAGGAAGAGAGAAAAAAGGACAAAGCACAAGAGUACAGGGGAUAUAGGGUCUGAUCCAAAGUCCACUGAAAUCAGUGAGAGUCUUUCCACUGACUUCAUAGGAGUUUAGAUCAGGGCCAUAGACAGAAGGAGAAGAGCAGGAAAUCAGGUAGAGUUUGUACCUGGGCUGUGGGGAAACAGAGAGAGAUAAAUGGCUAAAAUGGAAAGGCCUGUAGGAGACAGGGGAAGCAUUUACAGGAAAGGGUGGGAGAAUCUGCCUAGCAGUGGAAGGGAUGGAGAUAACGGGGAGGGGGGGAGAUUAAAGGGUGGAUCUGGGAUAGAAGAAAAUGAUAAUGGGUGCUUGGAUUUGCAGUUUGGGUACAUUGGUUCAAGAAAGUUCAAACCAGGGGCACCAAAUACGCAAUUAUGGAGUAUUAGAAUUAGGCUUUAACUGGAGACUGUAGUUAUUCCACUUGUGUUACCCGAGUGACGUCAGUAGGAGUUUGGGAUGUUAAAUUGCUACUGGUUCUGGCAUAUAUACAGCUGCGCAGUUGUAAGGUGUGCUGUAUAUAUAUGUAGAAACAGCCUUAAUCUCUUCUGUGAAUGUAUAGUGAUAGAGGCUGUGCAUUCUAGAGAAACAUCUCUGAGGAGCUCAGGGGCUGGAGUUCACUGAUUGCUACCUGCUAGGCGAGGUUUUGGCAGGAGGAGCUUUGAGGAGUUUGCUGGAGGAGGAAGACAGACUGGUGUGGAAGGAGUGGACACACAGUCUAAUCACCAGCAAAACUCAGUCUGGUAACACAGUGGCUCAGAGCUCUGUCUGUCCCCAGCAGCAUGUUACAGGGGACCUGAUCAGAUUAGCAUGUUGAGAAGUACAAUUGCUUUGUCUUGACUACUGUUUUAGAAGGUGUUAAUUAGACAGGGCUAUCUCUCGCCUUUAAAUCCUACCCUACACCACACCUUCCCUGUUAGCUGAUUGCCCUGAACCAGAAGCAGCGCCUUCUCUCUUGUCCCAGUCCUGGGUUUAUCAACAAGGGAGGAGGGGGUUAAUCCACAGCUUUUUGCUGCUCAUCAGAUAACGCUCAUUAUGCAAGCAGCAAUAAGAGCAUUCACACAGGAUGGUGUGUGGCCGUCAAUGUGCAUCUCUGUGUACACAUGGCUGUAGUUUGCUGUGAAUUGAGGGCAUGACAGUAUCUUGGCAGUAUCCCAUACUCCUUUGCUGGCUGCUGAGCAGUGUGCAUUCUGGGAUUUUCUUGCUGUGCACUGUGGAUAGUAGAAGACAGACUAGUUCAAAUUUUUUAAAAGUCCCAUGAUUCACCUGUCUCCAUGCUGUAUAUGCUGGAUGGGCAGGCUAGCGCCAUUUUCAAAUUGCACCACUAUGCUGACAACCUCUGAUACCCAGAAUACCCAGAGGCUUCUUGGGCUCUGUUUCUGCACUCAAAGCCAGAUGAAUUUGGGUUGUAACUUCACCUGCAGCACCACCAAGCAGAUGAUGUGGCAGCAACAGCAGUUCCUCCAGCAGCAGGAGGGGCUUCGGUGGUGGUGGAACUAGGACAUGGGCAAGGAAGAAGAGGAACAAACUUAGCAGCUGGUAGUGGAGGACCAAGUCCUGAAGCAGCUUCACAGUAUGCAGUGCCGUUUCUGGGCUUGGGAAACCAGGACCGACUGGUGGGAAAGGCUUGUUCUGCAGCUCUGGAAUGACCAGCAGUGGCAAGAGACUUUCAGGAUGGGGAAGAUAACCUUUUUGGAGAUUGUGCUGAACUAACCCCUGAGCCACAGUGGGAAAGUACCAACACGUGGUGCCCCAUAUCCAUGGACAAGCGGGUUGCAGUUGCCAUCUGGAAGCUAGCCACCCCCGAAUGCUGCCAUCUGUAGCAAACCAACUUGGCAUGGGAUGAUUGACUAUUGGGACCAUUGUCAUGCAGGUGUGUGCUGCCGUGGAAAAGGUACUGUGGCACUGGGUAAUGCUCAGGAGAUUACUGAUGGCUUUGCACACAUGGUGUUCCCAAACUGUAUUGGGACAAUUGAUGGGACCAUGUGCCUCUUAUUUGCUUCCCACAUCAGGACUCAGAAUUCAUAAACAGAAAGGGGUAUUUCUCUACAGUGCUCCAAGGCUUUAUCAACCACUGUGGCACACUUUUAGACAUAAAUGCUGGAUGGUCUGGAAGGGUCCAGGACGCUGGGAUAUUUUGGAAUUCAGCUCUAUUUAAAUUAGCAGAGAAAGGUCUGUUUGCCCCUGGGAUCACAAGGGACAUUAAUAGUGUGGAGAUUGCUCCAGAGCUGGAGUCUGGGAGAAGAAUGCCUUCUGGGAGCAGGGAUUACCGCAGGGAGGAGUUUCUGUUGUUCCCAGUAGUCCAUAUUGCCCAGGGACUGCAUAACAUGGCUGGGGGCUGGUUAGCAGUACUGCAUUGCCUGCUGCCCUAAUAGCACUAUGUGUUGCAACAAGGCAUUUUGGCUUUGUACUGGUUCCAGGAGUUGCCUCUGCAUUUCCCUCUCUUUUUCCAAACUUUCUUUGGCCAUGGCAAUGCUUUCUCAGGCAAUGGCCAUGCUGCCCUUUGCCAUUGCAAGCAUCUCCAUGGAAAGCUCCUUCUCAAAUUCCCUCUCAGUCCUCAGAUAUUGCCUCCACCUCUCUAUAUUUUGGGGAUUUGGGGGGUGGGGUGGGGUGGGCUGGACUUUAAUGAUUUCCAUGAACAUUUUGUCCAAGUUUUCCAUUUUCUCCCCCUCAGGAUAGCCAGCCACUCCGCCAUUGAAGGACCUUGUCCUUCAGGGUUUGGCCAUGUAGAUGUCGUAGCUGUAGAGGGGUAUUUAAAAAAUUACAAGCAGUUAUUGCUUAUGUUCUAGGAAGGCUGUGAUAGCAUUUUUUACAUGGAUUUCUGCCUUUACCUCCCUGAGAUUCUUCCCAGUCUUGGGGGACCCUCGCAGAUGGUAAGUGGUGUGUGCACUGGGGUUUUUGUCUGUGCAGUCAAUGUUGUGUGGCUUUGCCAUCGUACCUUGGAAGCUAGGGGGGAUGGCGUUGGGAAUUAUGUUCCUGGUCUGUCUUUGCAGUUUUACUGUCCUUGGAGGUGUUCAUAUGGUGGCAGAUGGGUUUGCAGGGUGAAUCUGGGGAUAAGGUGGAUAGUAAUCCCCUCUGCAUCCCUGUUAGGCUGUUCUGUUAUACUGAGACUGGUGACUAGGAAGCAAAGAAUUGCCUUAUUCAACAAGGCAAAGCAUGGACCAGCAAGAUACGCUGUCAAGUUAUCCCUCAAAAUGGUCCUUCCAGAAGUUCUGCAGGAGUGGAAGGGAAUUAUUAGCUAUACCGGUAGGGAAAGCUAUGCAGCUAGUCCUCAUAACCUCCAAACAAAAACUGAGCCAUUUCUCAACCUUAUAUUUUGCUCAGACAUGUUGAAAGUGCAGAGAGGAAUAGAUAAGGGUCUGCAAUGAUGGCCUGGAGCAUUCCCUGUUACCAUUCUGUUAGCGUGCAUGCUACAGGGCAUUUACAGGGAAGCUAUAUUCUUUUACGGUCAUGCAAUUUCCAUGUCUCCCUCAUGUGCAGUAAGAACACCAACCACACUUCUUUUCCUGUAACCGCUGUCUCAUUAAACUUUUGCACAAAAGAA